AUGACUGUCCGUGAAUAAGCAAUAAGGGAUAGAAUAUUAAUUUCUGGUAUUUCCAGACUCUGGAAUAUUAUACAGCUGAUAAAUAGAAAAAAAUUAGACCUAUAUGAUUUAUCUUAAAGACUAUUGGUUAUAGAAGCAAAAGCAAGUUUUAAAUAAAUUUGUUUAGAAUGA
Long non-coding RNA from Leopardus geoffroyi (Geoffroy's cat), 171 nucleotides. RefSeq lists it as uncharacterized. The transcript has 2 exons. The record is from RefSeq and is a predicted model, not a curated record. NCBI's taxonomy places the organism in Eukaryota, Metazoa, Chordata, Mammalia, Carnivora, Felidae.